UUCACAGGAACAUUAUUCAUGACUGCCCACAGUGGAAACUUCCUGAUACGUUAAAUGUUCACCAAAUGUAAUGGACAUAUAAUUUGUGACAUAGAAGGAAAACUAUAUAGCUUUGAAAAUGAUUAAUACACAAUUAAACACAACAGUAUACAUUUCACAAAGAAGCUUGAGUACAAAAGAGAACCUAAUUUUUCACUUAAAUUUAUGUAAUCUGUUUUCUAGUCAGUAUAAUGUCAGCAUAAUGAUUACCUUCUGGGGGGAUUAAGACUGGAAAAGAGGCUCAAAAUGGGCCUUAUAUCAUAGGUAAUACUCUUUCUUGAAAUGAAUGCCAUACAUGGUGUGCUAUCUUUGAAAAUUUAUUCAGGUUUACACUGAUAUAUUUACAUUUCUGUGUAAGUAUUAAAUAUUAAAAUUCCUAAAAGUUUAAAAAUGCAUGGCUUUGUGAUAGACAUUUAUCUUAAUGAUAUUGUUGAGCAUGUAUACAAAGCUGUGUAUUCGUGUGUGUGUGGGUGGGUGGGUGCAUGCACUGUGAAUUAAAAUUUGGAGAGAACACUCAUACCCACUAAAUGAUUGUUUAAAUAAAUUGUGGGGGAGUUAUUAAGUGAUUUGCUAUAGUCCUAUUAAGGUGAAUAUGGCAAUCUGUUUUAUGCUUCUCAAUGAGAAUAAUAGGUCAUAGGCAUACAUGCAAGGGACUGGCAGAACCACAGUGAGAGAGAUAGAAAAAUACAAAAAUAUUAGUAGAGAUUUAUCUGGCAACUUCAUAGCUGAUAAUUUUCCACUUAGCUCUAUUUUAAAUAUCUGAAUAGUUCCUGUAUGAUUUUGUUUGAGUAUUAAUUUGAUUUUAAUAUCUUAUAAGCUGGAAGUCAUGCUGUUUAUUCAACAAAACUCAUUGUAUAUACAUUUAUCACAGUGAACCAUGGAAUUUGUACAAGGUCAGAACUCAAUAAAUACUCACUUACUGCCUGACUAAAAAGCCAUAAUAAGGGAUAAUCUCUCAUCCUCAUCCAUAUAGUUUAAUAUAUAUCAUCAAUAAGGGCAUUUCUGUGUUCACCAGUUGUACAGAGACAACUACUGAAAAUGUGCAUUUGUGCAUGUGCCUUUUGUGUAGGAGAGUUACAUAGUAGAGCUUAAAGGCAUUUUUGUUAAUUUAAAUGAGAGGGAGACAUGCAAUUGAGAAGAGACAAGAAAGGUGAUGUCUCCAGUUGUUGAAUGGUCUGUGGACAUUUCUUUUCAAGCCUAUGAACAUUGUGUUAAUUUCAUUAGACAUUUUAUCUGAUGUGCAGGCUUCUUGUCUGAUUUUGUGAAGGUCACAUAAAUCCUCACUCAUUCAUAGUGAGGAGACAACCUGCCAAGGUUUUCACAACCCAGGCAGGUGGUUGGUGACAGAAUGCUGAGAGAGCUGAAGACUAGAAUUGUAAUUGGCUGCUGAUUUUGCAUGCAAGCCUCAAAUUCUCAAUUUUGUGCUUCCUGUCUGGGAAUGACUUUACAAAAACAAGAAAUGCUAGAAAAAUCCAUAGUUUUUGAACAUUUUGUGUGUGUGUGUGUGUGUGUAGAGCAGUAAGAGAGGAUUAAAAAUAUAUUUUUUUCAAGACAUAAGAACCAGGACUUGGCCUUUCACAGAAAUAGCAGUUUGAUGUUUUGUGCAAAUUAACUUAUGUAGCAUAAGAAGAAAUAAUAGUUUUGGCACAGGGGCUAGAUGAAUUGAAUAACAAAAUGGAAAGGCAUAGUAAAUGAAUGGCUAUUCUCUAGAUUACAGAUUAUCCAGGCUUUUAUGAUCUCUUCUCGUAACUCUUAGUCUUUUACUCAUUCACCACACAACUAGAAAAAUUUAGAUGAAAUUAAAAAAAAAAAUGAUGGACGCUAAAUCAGCUUCAUUUAACUGCUUGCUUGCUGUGAUCUAUUUUAGAAAGUGAACCAAGUGAUACCUCAAAGCAGUUGACUUAAUUGGAGAACUAUCUGUAGAUCUGUAAUUUAGGUUUUGUUUUUUGUUUUUGCCCUUCACAGUGCCAUUUACCUUAAGUGUAUGUUUAAGCAUCACUGUGAUAAAACCACGUUAUUUACCACUUGUUAUUCUGAGCUUUAUAGCUCAGUGGGCCGGGGGGAAGGGAGGGAGUGUGGAUUUGACUUAAUGAAAUAGUCUGAGGAACUGAAGUGCAUGACCUACAGGUCCAUGUGUUGAAUGAGACCAUAGAUAGGUUUGGUAAUGAGUUCAGUGCCAGGUUAGGUGAGAGGUGACACUAGGCCCUAAUGCUUGGCUAGAGUGUAUUCAACUGGGCACACUCUCAGACCCCUGAGGUUUAUGCUGGUAAGCAUUCCAACAUGCUUAUGAAUUUCUAAUUAUGGUUCAGAAAAUAAAUAACCAACCGACAUGGUAGAAUGGUACCAUAUCUCCUCUGGUGGUAGAACUUUGAUACAGAGAUCCUGGUAUAGAAGCAAUUAAAGUGAGAGAUCUUCACCUUCUAAUUGCAGAAGGUCUUAAAUAACAUAAUAUGGCAUGAAAAGAUGAGAGGGCUGAGUUAUAAGUAUUUGACUUUUUACCUUCUCUUCCUACUCUCUAUUGUACCAUUUCUUGGAUUAAAAUUAAUCUUUUUCACAGGGUCAAUAUUGUGGACUUUUCCCUACAUCAGCCAGAAUCUAUAUCCUGAAAAAUAAGUAAAUAGAAUCUAGAGACCCUAAAUUGAGAUAUAUAUAUAGUAAAAAACUGAGAUGGCAGAGAAGGGGAAAGAAGAAGCAAAAAUCUUUGAAAACUGAGUCUCAGAGAAGAGUUUAGGUGAGAAGUUUAAAGAACAUUGGAAUGAAAGCAUUUGGAUCAUGCCUGACUAUAAGAACCAUUGAAAAUGGGAGAUGGCAAAUGUUUCAGAAGUUUAAUGACAAUGAUAAGAUGGUUUUUAAUCUACAAGUAAGUCAAUUUGGGGGACCGCAAUGUAUGGAAACUGAGUUAGAAGGGAUUUCAACAAAUGACUUGUAGGCAAAUAACUUAUACAACCUGACUGCAUGAAAAUUCUGGAAUUUGUU
RNAcentral lists this long non-coding RNA (3015 nucleotides) under Sus scrofa (pig). RNAcentral's name for it is "lncRNA (ENSSSCG00065024806.1)". The record is from RNAcentral. Lineage: Eukaryota; Metazoa; Chordata; Mammalia; Artiodactyla; Suidae.